This 253-nucleotide ribosomal RNA is filed under the name uncultured bacterium. Its description in RNAcentral is "partial 16S ribosomal RNA". It matches the Rfam family "Bacterial small subunit ribosomal RNA", at positions 524 to 776 of the family's 1533-position model. The record is from RNAcentral.
UACGUAGGCAGCAAGCGUUGUUCGGAGUUACUGGGCGUAAAGGGUGCGUAGGCGGUCCUAUAAGUAUGGUGUGAAAUCUCCCGGCUUAACUGGGAGGGUGCGCUAUAGACUGUGGGACUAGAGUGUGGGAGAGGAAAGUGGAAUUCCUGGUGUAGCGGUGAAAUGCGUAGAUAUCAGGAGGAACACCGGUGGUGUAGACGGCUUUCUGGACCGUAACUGACGCUGAGACACGAAAGCGUGGGUAGCAAACAGG